Molecule: long non-coding RNA, 1025 nt
Filed under: Sus scrofa (pig)
Lineage: Eukaryota; Metazoa; Chordata; Mammalia; Artiodactyla; Suidae
Description: lncRNA (ENSSSCG00045010283.1)
Source: RNAcentral
CACGUGGAAGCCAAGUGGGAAAAGACAUCAAUGACUCUUCACGUGUUGUCUCGUGAUUCAAUGCAUCAUAUACAUUUUGAGAAAUUAACUUGAAAAGCGUGGUACGAUGACACUUACUUUAUGGAGAGACAGGCCCUUAUCAGGUCAGAUUGGGUCCCAUGAAUUAUUUCUGUCUGGCUGCUUCUUUGCUUCAGAUGCUGCAGCUGGGCUGAGGUGAGGCAGGGACACUGAAGCCGGUCUGGAAAAUUCAGGGAGAACAAGGCCUGUGCGCCCAUGCACCACCACGCUCCAACCUUUUAUACCUGGAAGAUGAUGCUUAUCAGUCACCAUCCAGAGGGAGCCUCAGACUGUUCUCAGUCCUCUGCUAAAGAGUAACUUCUGUCUGCAGAGUGGAACUGACAAAUGAGACAAAAUCCCUUUACUGUGGCAAAUGAACAGCAUGAGAGGGACACAAGCAUAGCACGGCACAAAACUAGGUCAUCUGAAUUCUAAGAUACAGCAUGCUGUCCGGGGCUCCAUCCUCUCCUUACACCUGCUCUUUGGGAUGGGUGCCAUCUAAGCGCAUCAUUCAGGAGCACAGCUAAGACUUCCGAAGCCCUUCAGGUCCAGUUCCAAGAAAGCCCAAGAGAAGGACAUUCCUUCUGCUAUGCACGGACGGCUCGGCUUCCAACGCCAGACUGACUGUCCUCUCCUCUGAGUCAUCGAGCCCCACCGCACCCCCACCCCAGGGAGCUCUUACCUCCCCUCAGCUCCAUGACCUAAGCCAAGAUGUUGCUAGAAGGCAAUUCAAUGUUCCAAUUUGAAAUAAGUCACACUUCAGGACAGAGAGAGAAAUAACAGAGCAGAGCAGCUCAAGCUCAAGAUGAUUCUUCAUUUUGAACUGCUUUCUGCAGCUGAGAAAUGAGAUCAAUGUUCUCUGCUGAUUUUCUUGAUUACCUGACAGCAAACUGUCGACAUUCCUGGUUCCAGCUCUGUGAAGUCUGGGAAGGUGGCCCUCUCUCUCACGUUUGUAUUUUGGACCCAGC